This 429-nucleotide ribosomal RNA is filed under the name uncultured bacterium. RNAcentral describes it as "bacterial SSU rRNA". It matches the Rfam family "Bacterial small subunit ribosomal RNA", at positions 355 to 796 of the family's 1533-position model. The record is from RNAcentral.
UGGGGAAUCUUGCGCAAUGGGCGAAAGCCUGACGCAGCGACACCGCGUGAGGGAUGAAGGCCCUCGGGUUGUAAACCUCUUUCGGCAGGGACGAAGCGAAAGUGACGGUACCUGCAGAAGAAGCCCCGGCUAACUACGUGCCAGCAGCCGCGGUAAGACGUAGGGGGCGAGCGUUGUCCGGAUUCAUUGGGCGUAAAGAGCGCGUAGGCGGCCCGGAAAGUGGGGUGUGAAAACCCGAGGCUCAACCUCGGGCGUGCAUUCCAAACUCCCGGGCUCGAGGCAGGUAGGGGAGAUCGGAAUUCCUGGUGUAGCGGUGAAAUGCGCAGAUAUCAGGAGGAACACCGGUGGCGAAGGCGGAUCUCUGGGCCUGUUCUGACGCUGAGGCGCGAAAGCUAGGGGAGCGAACAGGAUUAGAUACCCCGGUAGUCC